Molecule: long non-coding RNA, 1454 nt
Organism: Microcebus murinus (gray mouse lemur)
Lineage: Eukaryota; Metazoa; Chordata; Mammalia; Primates; Cheirogaleidae
Source: RefSeq, a predicted model, not a curated record
AGGGAGAUGAGAGUCCCCCCUCCCUGAUAAACCAGCAGGACCACAUCGACCAGGGGAGUAUCCCCCAAAGAAAUGGGUGUUGGGCAGACCCAGAGAACAUGAUCACAAGAUUUCAGGCUUCCAACUUCAGGAAUUUAUUUGGGAAAUUAUUUCUGAUGCAGCUACCUGUGCCUGGGGAAAGUCAAUACAGAAAAGUAACAAAAAUUUCAGGAAGAGUUUGUAACCACUCUUCACACCACGUGGGAAAAUUGUAGCCAUCUAAGCCUGAGACUCUAAGAGCUCAGACUGCCUCAAAAACUUUCUCAAUUAAGUGCUUAUCAGCAGUUGAAUGGAUUUGGCACCGUGGUAAAAACCUAUUUGUCACAUCUGUGUUUAAGACGCCACCUACCUGAAGACGCGUUAGGCACGCACAUCUCAGUAUGCUCCGUUGCAUUUCUAAAACCUGGCGUGUGGUUUCAUAAUCCAACGAGCUUUGGGAACCAAAGUGGAAAUUCAAAAUCUUAAAGACCAAUUCUAAUCUCAACGGGGAGAUUAAAAAUAAGGGCAAUUAUGAAAUAAAACUGAAGGCUGAAUCGGGCAGGUUGGAGAGGUACAAAAACACCCAAAUUAACGUGGAAAAGACACAAAUUCUGGGAAUUAAAAGCAACAGCUCCAAACUUGUUCUGUGUAUCACUCCACCAGUUUCAAAGCCACAGAUAUCACGGUGGUUCGCACAGUAAGAGUGAUCUCACUUGGAAGUGUCCAUUGAUACCGACUUCCAAUCAGAUUACGUGGGAAAGAAGUUUUUCUUCCUUACAGAAUUUCCGCAUCGACGUCAACAGCAUGAGUGAAUGCCUCACACGUGGGACUAAACUGCCUUACACAAGGGACUAAACUGUGAUAUUUUAACGUGCCUAAACUCUGAUGAAAUCAUGGAAGGCAUCACAGCAGGGAGUGAACCCCAGGGAGGCUAUUAGCAAUUCGGCAUCUCACUGAAUGUGGGAAUGUGAAUGCCUCAUACCCCUGUACAGCAAGCACCCACGAUGGUGCCACGUUGGCUUCUGUAUUUCCAAUUUACCCACCCAGAUUAUCUGAUUGCUUUCCCUCCCUCCCCCAUCCCUUUCACUCCUGGGACUCUCCAAGCAGCAGGGAUCUCUCAGGGGGGUUGAUAAGAGAGUGUGCAACAGUACAGCUAGCAGCCCUGUUUGCUGAAAAUACAGGGGAAGCGGUUUAGGCACUAAUGCCUGUUCAGGGGCUCGGAGGAGACAAUAUUAAAGCCUAGACUGGAGUUUCAAAGACUCUUUAACUCGCAGGGUGUUUGCCCUGGUGGGCAGCAGCAGGAAUUUACCCAACACCAGCCCCUGGUCCCUGACAUUUGAAAAAUGGCAGUUUUAAAAACCAGGAGCGAUUGAGUCGGUUAAGGUAUGCAUUUCACCAAAGUGCUAGAGUGGCAUCUUUAAUCUUCCUGGUUCUUG